This is a non-coding RNA of Misgurnus anguillicaudatus (oriental weatherfish), 2223 nucleotides long. Lineage: Eukaryota; Metazoa; Chordata; Actinopteri; Cypriniformes; Cobitidae. The record is from RefSeq and is a predicted model, not a curated record.
CUCAAAAAAUGGGUUUUGUAGCACUGUUCAUUAUACACAAAUAUAUUUAGUUACAUUAAAACAUACACAUUUAUUUUUAAGACAAAAUACAAGUGUAAUGUGUUAUGCUAAAUCAAUUUGUUAUUCACUCUAGUUUACCUAACUACCUAUCUUUAAACUAAAGUAAUUGGUUUACUUUUGCGAUUCAAACUACCGGAUGUGACGUCAUUUAACGACUUCCACGAAGACGGCGCGGAGCUCUGGCGCGCAGGUGAUGGUGUUUCCGUCAUACCACAAAGACUUCUCCAGUCUGGCUAAAAGUUACAAAAGGUGAUCCUUCAGUAUGCCAUUUUUACUUCAGUGAGUGACCUGUCAAAGGAAAUAGAAAAACAAUGUAAUCUACAAGGACAUUUAAGGCUGCAGUUCAUGGAUUCUGACUUGGGCAAUUAGUUUUUAAAUCUCAUGUACACAUCUGAAAUUCAAGACAAAAGUACACUUAAGGUGGUAUUUCUGACAACACCAAGUGAUUGUGACAACUCGCCCCCACCACAACUGAACAGUUUUCAAAGGAGUACCUGCUCAUCACCAGCUCUUUCACUUUCAUCCUGUGACACAGUAGUUUUGUCAACCCCAUCUACUUCAUUAAGCUCUGACUGUGUUGCAAAAGCGUGUUUUGCCAAAUAUAUAACAAAACUGAGAAAAAUUGGCUGUACUGAAGUGAAAUUAAAUUUACUCAAGCCCAAACCAGCUGGAAUUUCCAGUGCUGCUUAUCAUAUAAAAAAACAUGCAACGCUUUGGUUAACUACUGCCCUUACCAUCCACAAACGGAGACAUCCAAAACACUGGAAGUAGUCAGUGUAAUACUUCUGUCUGAAAUUAAAAAGAACAAUGAGAAAACAUUAUGAAUGCUGAUGGACAAGACCUUUUCUAUCAGGAGACAUGAGGUUGUCAAGGAAUCGCCUUCAAUAGCAGAUUUCAAAACUAGAUGGCCUGCUCUUUUCAGAAGGGAAGAGAUUUGUGCAGAGUUUAAAAGAAUCGCAACAGCCCCAUUGGUGUCUACAUACUUGGCGAAGAUGGAUCAAUAUUCUGCAAAGCUUAUAAGGAUCUAUGCAAAACGAGGAGUCGUCAAUGGACAGAGAAUUAAAAACCUGCUGGUUUCCACAACACAGACUGACUGACACAUUGAUCAGACUCCAAUCUUUCUUUGUCUACCUGAAUGAAGACCUGACCAGUCUAAUUAAAGAGUACUUGGAUACAGAUGCACCCAGUACCCAGGAGGCGUUCCAGAAGAUGGUGAUGGGAGUGCUUGUAGGUUCAGACAUCGAAGACAGCCCAGCAGAUGUUGGAGUGUUAUUAGAGGGAUUAAGAGUUCUUGGACCUCAUCAACAUUGUGUAUGGAACAACCAUGCUGAUGGGACUGAUAUAUGCACUGAACUUGAGCUACUUUCCUGAAUUCAGGUACACUUUUGAAGUAUUGCAGUUGUUGUUUCUGGAGCUAGAUGGGAAGUAACUAUCUCAUAAAGUUCAGACGCUGAAGACCAAGACUUUUGCAGAUGUUUUGAGAAAGGAAUGUUUUAAUAUUUCAUAUGUAAAUGCCAUGUUUUUGAAAUGGCAGUACAGUAACAUUCGGGAAGUAAGCAGUGUCGUCAAUUUAUUUUGAUAGUUUUGCAGUGCGUUUUUAUUUAAUUAGAUUAAUGUAGAGUUGUUUAAAGCUUUGGCUGUACGUAAAUGGUGCUGCAUCUAAUUUGUCAUGGAAUGUUAACGUUUAUACUGUAUCUGUAGUUUAAGUGCAAUAAACAUGGCUUGAAGAACUGGUGUCUGAGAUUCUUUUAUGAAUAAAAUGAAUGCUAUAUAGAGUUUAUUACAAAAAGUAUAUUAUUGUGUGUGAUGUACUUGAAAUAGAAAUUGUUAUGUUAAAGUAACUAAAAGUAAUUGGAUGGAACCACUGUCCACAAUGUAAAUGAGUUGUAUGAAUAAACUACUCUUGAGUUGGACAAGCAAAAAAUAUUUGAUUAGUUUGUACAAGUUAAACACAUGUUCAGAAAACGUAACAAUCUUAAGUUAUGGAUAAGUAACUAAGAUAAUUUUGUUGAACGUUACCACGUCACAUUAGUUAUUUAUUAUUCAAUUGUGUUGCUGCAACAGAAGAGUUUGGCAUUGACUGAAAACAACCCUUAAAUGUUAAUAAAAACUAACUGGGUUGUGUGGAACCACUGUCCACAAUAAAAUUGUGUUCGUUUAAAG